This 510-nucleotide ribosomal RNA is filed under the name Triticum aestivum (bread wheat). RNAcentral describes it as "partial small subunit ribosomal RNA". The record is from RNAcentral. Lineage: Eukaryota; Viridiplantae; Streptophyta; Magnoliopsida; Poales; Poaceae.
UGGGUAUUGAACUGGAUGACAGAAAAUACUCACUACAAAGCACCGGCCUCUGAACUACUUCAUGUCGUCCCAGAUAGUCCUCCCGUUCAAGGUGCAAGGCUCAUCUAUGCUGAACCUGAACUCUCAGAUCAUUUGAUGCAAGUUCUGAUGAAGCCUUUGAAGCCAGGCCAAGCUCCCAGGACCAAAUUCCUCGUCAAGGAAUUGCUCUAUGUGCCAAGGACUGUAUACAGGAUAUUGACCAAAACCCUCAGUCCAAUCAAGGGCCACAACUCUGAUGAAGAAGAUGUUGUUGGCAUCAUGAAGAAUCUGCUUUUCAACAUCAUACAUGGUAUCCCUAUCAACUACCAUGAUUUCUUCAUGAGGACUUUGGCCAAUGUCGCUUUGUCACCGUUUGAAUUGAAGCCUUACGCUCCCUGGAUUAUGAGAUUCAUCAGAUCAAGGUCCUCAAUUCAUUACAAGGCUGACUUUCAAAAUCAUCUCAGCUGUUUGCCCCCAGUUGAAGUCCACAAA